RNAcentral lists this ribosomal RNA (915 nucleotides) under Trichophyton mentagrophytes. RNAcentral's name for it is "LSU rRNA". It matches the Rfam family "Eukaryotic large subunit ribosomal RNA", at positions 35 to 967 of the family's 3401-position model. The record is from RNAcentral. Lineage: Eukaryota; Fungi; Ascomycota; Eurotiomycetes; Onygenales; Arthrodermataceae.
UAAGCAUAUCAAUAAGCGGAGGAAAAGAAACCAACAGGGAUUGCCCCAGUAACGGCGAGUGAAGCGGCAAGAGCUCAAAUUUGAAAUCUGGCCUCCUCCGGGGGUCCGAGUUGUAAUUUGCAGAGGAUGCUUCGGGUGCGGCCCCCGUCUAAGUUCCUUGGAACAGGACGUCAGAGAGGGUGAGAAUCCCGUCUUGGGCGGGCGGCCCGCGCCCGUGUGAAGCUCCUUCGACGAGUCGAGUUGUUUGGGAAUGCAGCUCUAAGCGGGUGGUAAAUUUCAUCUAAAGCUAAAUAUUGGCCGGAGACCGAUAGCGCACAAGUAGAGUGAUCGAAAGGUUAAAAGCACCUUGAAAAGGGAGUUAAACAGCACGUGAAAUUGUUGAAAGGGAAGCGCUUGCGGCCAGACUCGGGGGCGGGGUUCAGCGGGCGCUCGUCGCCCGUGCACUCCCCGCGCCCCGGGCCAGCAUCAGUUUCGACGGUCGGUCAAAGGCCCCCGGAAUGUGUCGUCUCUAGGGACGUCUUAUAGCCGGGGGUGCAAUGCGGCCCGUCGGGACUGAGGAACGCGCUUCGGCUCGGAUGCUGGCGUAAUGGCCGUAAGCGGCCCGUCUUGAAACACGGACCAAGGAGUCUAACAUCCACGCGAGUGUUCGGGUGUCAAACCCGUGCGCGCAGUGAAAGCGAACGGAGGUGGGAGCCUUUGGGCGCACCAUCGACCGAUCCUGAAGUCUUCGGAUGGAUUUGAGUAGGAGCGUGGCCGUUGGGACCCGAAAGAUGGUGAACUAUGCCUGAAUAGGGUGAAGCCAGAGGAAACUCUGGUGGAGGCUCGCAGCGGUUCUGACGUGCAAAUCGAUCGUCAAAUUUGGGCAUAGGGGCGAAAGACUAAUCGAACCAUCUAGUAGCUGGUUCCUGCCGAAGU